GAGAUUGUGGCCGAGUGGAUUAGGCACAAGAUUGUGGCUCUUGUUCACGCCGGUUCGAAUCCGACCAAUCUCCCA
This 75-nucleotide transfer RNA is filed under the name Bacillota bacterium. Its description in RNAcentral is "tRNA-His". It matches the Rfam family "tRNA". Rfam says of the family: Transfer RNA (tRNA) molecules are approximately 80 nucleotides in length. Lineage: Bacteria; Bacillati; Bacillota. The record is from RNAcentral.